This 429-nucleotide ribosomal RNA is filed under the name Gemmatimonadota bacterium. RNAcentral's name for it is "Gemmatimonadetes bacterium partial 16S ribosomal RNA". It matches the Rfam family "Bacterial small subunit ribosomal RNA", at positions 355 to 776 of the family's 1533-position model. Lineage: Bacteria; Pseudomonadati; Gemmatimonadota. The record is from RNAcentral.
UAGGGAAUGUUCGGUAAUGGACGAAAGGCUGGCCGAGCAACGCCGCGCGGGGGAAGAAAGGAUUCGGAUCGGAAAACACUGUUGUUAGAGAAGAAAAAGGACGUUAGUAACUGAACGUCCACUGACGGUAGCUAACCAGAAAGCAACGGCUGACUACGUGCCAGGAGCGGCGGUGAUACGUAGGUGGCAAGCGUGGUCAGGAUGUGUAGGGCGUAAAGCGAGCGCAGGGGGUUACUUAAGUCUGAUGUGAAAGCCCCCGGCUCAAUCGGGGAGGUGGAUAGGAAACGGGGAGACAGGAGUGGAGGAGAGGGGAGUGGAAUUCGAAGUGGAGCGGUGAAAUGCGUAGAUGAAGGAAGGAAGACCAGUGGGGAAGGCGGCUCGCUGGACCGUAACCGCCGCUGAGGCUGGAAAGCGUGGGGAGCAAACAGG